GAUGAACGCUGGCGGCGUGCCUAAUACAUGCAAGUCGAGCGAACGGACGAGAAGCUUGCUUCUCUGAUGUUAGCGGCGGACGGGUGAGUAACACGUGGAUAACCUACCUAUAAGGCUGAGAUAACGUCGGGAAACCGGAGCUAAUACCGGAUAAUAGUGUGAAACGCAUGGUUCAAAAGUGAAAGACGGUCUUGCUGUCACUUAUAGAUGGAUCCGCGCUGCAUUAGCUAGUUGGUAAGGUAACGGCUUACCAAGGCAACGAUGCAUAGCCGACCUGAGAGGGUGAUCGGCCACACUGGAACUGAGACACGGUCCAGACUCCUACGGGAGGCAGCAGUAGGGAAUAUUCCGCAAUGGGCGAAAGCCUGACGGAGCAACGCCGCGUGAGUGAUGAAGGUCUUCGGAUCGUAAAACUCUGUUAUUAGGGAAGAACAUAUGUGUAAGUAACUGUGCACAUCUUGACGGUACCUAAUCAGAAAGCCACGGCUAACUACGUG
RNAcentral lists this ribosomal RNA (497 nucleotides) under uncultured bacterium. RNAcentral's name for it is "partial 16S ribosomal RNA". It matches the Rfam family "Bacterial small subunit ribosomal RNA", at positions 28 to 507 of the family's 1533-position model. The record is from RNAcentral.